CUGACCUCAAAUCAGGUAGGACUACCCGCUGGCUUAAGCAUAUCAAUAAGCGGAGGA
RNAcentral lists this ribosomal RNA (57 nucleotides) under uncultured fungus. Its description in RNAcentral is "partial 28S ribosomal RNA". Lineage: Eukaryota; Fungi. The record is from RNAcentral.